This 311-nucleotide ribosomal RNA is filed under the name uncultured bacterium. RNAcentral's name for it is "bacterial SSU rRNA". It matches the Rfam family "Bacterial small subunit ribosomal RNA", at positions 8 to 321 of the family's 1533-position model. The record is from RNAcentral.
AGAGUUUGAUCCUGGCUCAGAUUGAACGCUGGCGGCAGGCCUAACACAUGCAAGUCGAGCGGAUGAGUGGAGCUUGCUCCAUGAUUCAGCGGCGGACGGGUGAGUAAUGCCUAGGAAUCUGCCUGGUAGUGGGGGACAACGUUUCGAAAGGAACGCUAAUACCGCAUACGUCCUACGGGAGAAAGCAGGGGACCUUCGGGCCUUGCGCUAUCAGAUGAGCCUAGGUCGGAUUAGCUAGUAGGUGAGGUAAUGGCUCACCUAGGCGACGAUCCGUAACUGGUCUGAGAGGAUGAUCAGUCACACUGGAACUG